UACGUAGGUGGCAAGCGUUGUCCGGAUUUACUGGGCGUAAAGAGCGCGCAGGCGGUCGUUCAAGUCGCGUGUGAAAGCCCCCGGCUCAACUGGGGAGGGUCACGCGAUACUGAUCGACUCGAAGACAGGAGAGGGUAGUGGAAUUCCCGGUGUAGUGGUGAAAUGCGUAGAUAUCAGGAAGAACACCCGUGGCGAAAGCGGCUCUCUGGAACGGUACUGACGCUGAGACGCGAAAGCGUGGGGAGCGAACAGG
This 253-nucleotide ribosomal RNA is filed under the name uncultured bacterium. RNAcentral's name for it is "partial 16S ribosomal RNA". It matches the Rfam family "Bacterial small subunit ribosomal RNA", at positions 524 to 776 of the family's 1533-position model. The record is from RNAcentral.